CUCGCGAUGCAUCUAGAUUCGAACGCUGGCGGCGUGCUUAACACAUGCAAGUCGAGCGGUAAGGCCCUUCGGGGUACACGAGCGGCGAACGGGUGAGUAACACGUGGGUGAUCUGCCUCGCACUCUGGGAUAAGCCUGGGAAACUGGGUCUAAUACCGGAUAUGACCUUACAUCGCAUGGUGUUUGGUGGAAAGAUUUAUCGGUGCGAGAUGGGCCCGCGGCCUAUCAGCUUGUUGGUGGGGUAAUGGCCUACCAAGGCGACGACGGGUAGCCGGCCUGAGAGGGCGACCGGCCACACUGGGACUGAGACACGGCCCAGACUCCUACGGGAGGCAGCAGUGGGGAAUAUUGCACAAUGGGCGAAAGCCUGAUGCAGCGACGCCGCGUGAGGGAUGACGGCCUUCGGGUUGUAAACCUCUUUCGACAGGGACGAAGCGCAAGUGACGGUACCUGUAGAAGAAGCACCGGCCAACUACGUGCCAGCAGCCGCGGUAAUACGUAGGGUGCGAGCGUUGUCCGGAAUUACUGGGCGUAAAGAGCUUGUAGGCGGCUUGUCGCGUCGAUCGUGAAAACUUGGGGCUCAACCCCAAGCUUGCGGUCGAUACGGGCAGGCUUGAGUACUUCAGGGGAGACUGGAAUUCCUGGUGUAGCGGUGAAAUGCGCAGAUAUCAGGAGGAACACCGGUGGCGAAGGCGGGUCUCUGGGAAGUAACUGACGCUGAGAAGCGAAAGCGUGGGUAGCGAACAGGAUUAGAUACCCUGGUAGUCCACGCCGUAAACGGUGGGUACUAGGUGUGGGUUUCCUUCCACGGGAUCCGUGCCGUAGCUAACGCAUUAAGUACCCCGCCUGGGGAGUACGGCCGCAAGGCUAAAACUCAAAGGAAUUGACGGGGGCCCGCACAAGCGGCGGAGCAUGUGGAUUAAUUCGAUGCAACGCGAAGAA
This 942-nucleotide ribosomal RNA is filed under the name Nocardia cyriacigeorgica. RNAcentral's name for it is "bacterial SSU rRNA". It matches the Rfam family "Bacterial small subunit ribosomal RNA", at positions 1 to 968 of the family's 1533-position model. Lineage: Bacteria; Bacillati; Actinomycetota; Actinomycetes; Mycobacteriales; Nocardiaceae. The record is from RNAcentral.